CAGUCGCCACGGGAAUACGUAGGGUGCAAGCGUAAAUCGGAAUUACUGGGCGUAAAGCGUGCGCAGGCGGUUAUAUAAGUCAGAUGUGAAGUCCCCGGGCUCAACCUGGGAACUGCAUUUGAGACUGUAUGGCUAGAGUGUGUCAGAGGAGGGUAGAAUUCCACGUGUAGCAGUGAAAUGCGUAGAUAUGUGGAGGAAUACCGAUGGCGAAGGCAGCCCCCUGGGAUAACACUGACGCUCAUGCACGAAAGCGUGGGGAGCAAACAGGAUUAGAUACCCCGGUAGUCCCUGUCUCUUAUAC
This 301-nucleotide ribosomal RNA is filed under the name uncultured bacterium. RNAcentral describes it as "partial 16S ribosomal RNA". It matches the Rfam family "Bacterial small subunit ribosomal RNA", at positions 509 to 807 of the family's 1533-position model. The record is from RNAcentral.